UACGUAGGGUGCGAGCGUUUGUCCGGAAUUAUUGGGCGUAAAGAGCUUGUAGGUGGUUUGUCGCGUCUGCUGUGAAAAUCCGGGGCUCAACCCCGGACUUGCAGUGGGUACGGGCAGACUAGAGUGUGGUAGGGGAGACUGGAAUUCCUGGUGUAGCGGUGAAAUGCGCAGAUAUCAGGAGGAACACCGAUGGCGAAGGCAGGUCUCUGGGCCACUACUGACGCUGAGAAGCGAAAGCAUGGGGAGCAAACAGG
RNAcentral lists this ribosomal RNA (254 nucleotides) under uncultured bacterium. RNAcentral describes it as "partial 16S ribosomal RNA". It matches the Rfam family "Bacterial small subunit ribosomal RNA", at positions 524 to 776 of the family's 1533-position model. The record is from RNAcentral.